UACGUAGGGGGCUAGCGUUGUCCGGAAUCAUUGGGCGUAAAGAGCGUGUAGGCGGUCCGGUAAGUCCGUUGUGAAGGUCAGGGGCUCAACCCUUGAAUGCCGGCGGAUACUGUCGGGCUAGAGUCCGGAAGAGGCGAGUGGAAUUCCCGGUGUAGCGGUGAAAUGCGUAGAUAUCAGGAGGAACACCGGUGGCGAAGGCGGAUCUCUGGGCCUUACCUGACGCUGAGGCGCGAAAGCUAGGGGAGCAAACAGG
RNAcentral lists this ribosomal RNA (253 nucleotides) under uncultured bacterium. Its description in RNAcentral is "partial 16S ribosomal RNA". It matches the Rfam family "Bacterial small subunit ribosomal RNA", at positions 524 to 776 of the family's 1533-position model. The record is from RNAcentral.